CCCUUAGAUGUUCUGGGCCGCACGCGCGCUACACUGACGAAGUCAGCGAGCAUGUCCUUCGCCGGCAGGUGCGGGGAAUCUUGUGAAACUUCGUCGUGCUGGGGAUAGAUCAUUGCAAUUCUUGAUCUUGAACGAGGAAUUCCUAGUAAGCGCGAGUCAGCAGCUCGCGUUGAUUACGUCCCUGCCCUUUGUACACACCGCCCGUCGCUACUACCGAUUGAAUGGUUUAGUGAAAAUUUCGGAUUGGAGCCGGCGCGGUCGGCAACGGUCGCGGCGGAUUUCGAGAAGUCGUUUGAACUUGAUCAUUUAGAGGAAGUAAAAGUCGUAACA
Molecule: ribosomal RNA, 330 nt
Filed under: uncultured eukaryote
Lineage: Eukaryota
Description: partial 18S ribosomal RNA
Rfam family: Eukaryotic small subunit ribosomal RNA
Source: RNAcentral